AGUGGCGAACGGGUGAGUUUACAUCGGAACGUGCCCAGUAGUGGGGGAUAGCUCGGCGAAAGCCGGAUUAAUACCGCAUACGACCUGAGGGUGAAAGCGGGGGAUCUUCGGACCUCGCGCUAUUGGAGCGGCCGAUGGCAGAUUAGCUAGUUGGUGGGGUAAAGGCCUACCAAGGCGACGAUCUGUAGCUGGUCUGAGAGGACGACCAGCCACACUGGGACUGAGACACGGCCCAGACUCCUACGGGAGGCAGCAGUGGGGAAUUUUGGACAAUGGGCGAAAGCCUGAUCCAGCAAUGCCGCGUGUGUGAUGAAGGCCUUCGGGUUGUAAAGCACUUUUGGCGGGAACGAAAAGGACUGUGCCAAUACCACGGUUCGAUGACGGUACCCGCAGAAUAAGCACCGGCUAACUACGUGCCAGCAGCCGCGGUAAUACGUAGGGUGCAAGCGUUAAUCGGAAUUACUGGGCGUAAAGAGUGCGCAGGCGGUUUUGCAAGACCGAUGUGAA
This 507-nucleotide ribosomal RNA is filed under the name uncultured bacterium. Its description in RNAcentral is "bacterial SSU rRNA". It matches the Rfam family "Bacterial small subunit ribosomal RNA", at positions 94 to 598 of the family's 1533-position model. The record is from RNAcentral.